Molecule: long non-coding RNA, 560 nt
Filed under: Pan troglodytes (chimpanzee)
Lineage: Eukaryota; Metazoa; Chordata; Mammalia; Primates; Hominidae
Description: long non-coding RNA NONPTRT004521
Source: RNAcentral
CCUUCUUUAUUUACUGGUUUCGCCUAUAAAGAAUAUCAGGUAGAUAGAGAAAUCAAAAUUGAAGGAUCUACAUAAAAGUAAAUUUACAUUUUUUUAUUUCCUUCUUUAUUUACUGGUUUCACUUAUGAAUUGGCCAAAUUGUGAAAAUGGCCAGUGACUGUGGACAGCAAAAAAAGUCAGAGGGGAAACCACACUUUCUAGCCAAAGAAAUAGGAAAAAGGGCCUAUGUGUAGAGGAGAGUGUGGGAGAGAACUCUUUUUACUCUCUUUCUCCCUAACCAAUGCAAGGACCAGACCCAGGGGCAAAAUCUCACAGCUGCAGUAUCGUUUAAGACUCAGAGAGAGCCUAUCUUUCUGGGCAAAGGGGCUGAAAAGAAGGACCCUGUUCCUGCUUUGUGGACCAAGCAGAGGGCCUAUCAGACUGGAGAGUGUGAAGGAAUAUCUGCAGUAGAGAGAUAAACACAAGGAAAACAAUGUCAAUAGCAUCAUAAUCCAACUGCUAAAACAAAUAACUAAUAACUCAGAAUUUUAUGAAUAGUGAUCAUAUUUAUGAGGAAUAAA